UAAUACCGGCAGUUCAAGUCGCAUCCCUAUUUAUUGGGUCUAAAACAUCCGUAGCUUGCCAUUUAAGUCUCUUGUGAAAUCUCAUGUCUUAAGCAUGAGGCUUGCGGGAGAUACUGGAUGGCUAGAGAUCGGUAGACGUAAGGAGUACGCGAGAGGUAGUGGUUAAAUACGUUAAUCUUUCGUGGACUAACGAUGAGCGAAGGCACCUUACGAGGACGAAUCUGACAGUCAGGGAUGAGGCCAGGGGCGCAAAACGGAUUAGAUACCCGUGUAGUCCUGGCAGUAAACACUGCUCACUAAACAUCGGGCCCUCUUCGGGAGGAUUCGGUGCUGAAGCGAAGGCGAAGAGUGAGCUACCUGGGAAGUAUAGUCGCAAGAUCG
This 381-nucleotide ribosomal RNA is filed under the name uncultured Halobacteria archaeon. Its description in RNAcentral is "bacterial SSU rRNA". It matches the Rfam family "Archaeal small subunit ribosomal RNA", at positions 471 to 851 of the family's 1478-position model. The record is from RNAcentral. Lineage: Archaea; Methanobacteriati; Methanobacteriota; Halobacteria.